UACGAGAGGCCCAAACGUUAUUCGGAUUUACUGGGCUUAAAGAGUUCGUAGGCGGCGCAGAAAGUAGGGUGUGAAAGCCCUCGGCUCAACCGAGGAAUUGCGCUCUAAACUACUGCGCUCGAGGAACCUAGAGGUGAGCAGAACUGAUGGUGGAGCGGUGAAAUGCGUUGAUAUCAUCAGGAAUACCGGAGGCGAAGGCGGCUCACUGGGGGUUUUCUGACGCUGAGGAACGAAAGCCAGGGGAGCGAACGGG
Molecule: ribosomal RNA, 253 nt
Filed under: uncultured bacterium
Lineage: Bacteria
Description: partial 16S ribosomal RNA
Rfam family: Bacterial small subunit ribosomal RNA
Source: RNAcentral